RNAcentral lists this ribosomal RNA (253 nucleotides) under uncultured bacterium. RNAcentral's name for it is "partial 16S ribosomal RNA". It matches the Rfam family "Bacterial small subunit ribosomal RNA", at positions 524 to 776 of the family's 1533-position model. The record is from RNAcentral.
UACAGAGGUCUCAAGCGUUGUUCGGAUUCAUUGGGCGUAAAGGGUGCGUAGGCGGCGCGGUAAGUCGGGUGUGAAAUCUCGGAGCUUAACUCCGAAACUGCAUUCGAUACUGCCGUGCUUGAGGACUGGAGAGGAGACUGGAAUUUACGGUGUAGCGGUGAAAUGCGUAGAUAUCGUAAGGAAGACCAGUGGCGAAGGCGGGUCUCUGGGCCAUUACUGACGCUGAGGAGCGAAAGCGUGGGUAGCGAACAGG